UACAGAGGGUGCGAGCGUUAAUCGGAAUUAUUGGGCGUAAAGCGUGCGUAGGUGGAUAUUUAAGUCGAAUGUGAAAUCCCCGGGCUCAACCUGGGAACUGCAUCCGAUACUGGGUAUCUGGAGUAUAGUAGGGGAAAGCGGAAUUCCCGGUGUAGCGGUGAAAUGCGUAGAUAUCGGGAGGAACAUCAAUGGCGAAGGCGGCUUUCUGGACUAAUACUGACACUGAGGCACGAAAGCGUGGGGAGCAAACAGG
Molecule: ribosomal RNA, 253 nt
Filed under: uncultured bacterium
Lineage: Bacteria
Description: partial 16S ribosomal RNA
Rfam family: Bacterial small subunit ribosomal RNA
Source: RNAcentral